RNAcentral lists this ribosomal RNA (253 nucleotides) under uncultured bacterium. RNAcentral describes it as "partial 16S ribosomal RNA". It matches the Rfam family "Bacterial small subunit ribosomal RNA", at positions 524 to 776 of the family's 1533-position model. The record is from RNAcentral.
UACGUAGGGGGCUAGCGUUGUCCGGAUUUAUUGGGUUUAAAGGGUGCGUAGGCGGCCCUGUAAGUCAGUGCUGAAAUAUCCCGGCUUAACCGGGAGGGUGGCAUUGAUACUGCGGGGCUAGAGUACAGAUGAGGUAGGCGGAAUUGACGGUGUAGCGGUGAAAUGCGCAGAUAUCAGGAAGAACACCAAUGGCGAAAGCAGCUCUCUGGGACGGUACUGACGCUGAGACGCGAAAGCGUGGGGAGCGAACAGG